Molecule: ribosomal RNA, 242 nt
Filed under: uncultured bacterium
Lineage: Bacteria
Description: partial 16S ribosomal RNA
Rfam family: Bacterial small subunit ribosomal RNA
Source: RNAcentral
GAUCCUGGCUCAGGAUGAACGCUGGCGGCGUGCCUAAUACAUGCAAGUCGAGCGAACAGACGAGGAGCUUGCUCCUCUGACGUUAGCGGCGGACGGGUGAGUAACACGUGGAUAACCUACCUAUAAGACUGGGAUAACUUCGGGAAACCGGAGCUAAUACCGGAUAAUAUAUUGAACCGCAUGGUUCAAUAGUGAAAGAACGGUUUUGUCUGUCACUUAUAGAUGGAUCCGCGCCGCAUUAG